Pelobates cultripes (western spadefoot toad) is the source of this 318-nucleotide non-coding RNA. The record is from the annotation of a GenBank genome assembly. NCBI's taxonomy places the organism in Eukaryota, Metazoa, Chordata, Amphibia, Anura, Pelobatidae.
GUAUGUUUGUAUAGAGUGUGUAUAUAAUGAAUGCAGAGUGUGUAUAUAAUGAAUGCAGAGUGUGUGUGUUUGUAUAGUGUGUGUGUAUAUAAUGAAUGCAGAGUGUGUGUAGUGUGUUUGUAUAUAAUGAAUGCAGUGUGUGCAUGUGUGUAUAUAAUGAAUGCAAAGUGUGUGUUUGUGUAGUGUGUGUAUAUAAUGUAGAGUGUGUGUGUGUAUAAUGAAUGCAGUGUGUGUGUUUGUGUAGUGAUGUAAUUUGUGUAAAAUGGGCGGGGGGGCACUUUUUAUUUUAAUUUUAUUUUUGAUAUUUUUAUGAGAUAG